This is an RNA transcript of Cryptomeria japonica (Japanese cedar), 775 nucleotides long. It is a transcript of the gene named F-box/kelch-repeat protein SKIP25, with no coding region annotated. The record is from RefSeq and is a predicted model, not a curated record. Lineage: Eukaryota; Viridiplantae; Streptophyta; Pinopsida; Cupressales; Cupressaceae. The transcript has 2 exons.
CUGGAAUGGGACAUGGCAGUUUCCAAGUCGGCGGAGAUAUAUGACGUGGAGGCAGAUGCGUGGGGCCCUGCAGAGGCGCUGGGAUCGUCUAAGUUUAGUGGUGAGGCAAUCAGCGCUGUGGGCGUUGGGGGCAGUCUUCAUAUGGUGAGUGGGAAGGGCGUAAUGAUCAAGGACGGGGCGGUUUAUGAUCCCUCUCGUCGGGUUUGGUCUUAAGAUGAGCCCUGCUCUUCUGGGUGGCUGGGACGGGCCCUGCGUUGGAAUGGGUGGGCGGUUCUAUUCUAUUAAUGAAUCGGGCGGAAGUGGAAGGCUGAAGGCCUACGUUUCGGAGGAGUCGUGGUGGGUGACCGUUGUGGAGAGUGAGCUGUUGAGCGGGGUGUCACAGUUGGUGGGUUCGCGAGGGAAGAUAUGCGGGAUAAAUUGAGGCGAAGAGGGGGAGAAAAGGAUUAUGGUUGUGGACGUUGUGUGUAAGCGGGUUAUGGAAGUGGAGACUCCCAUUGGCCUCCCCGUUGCAAUCCAGCUUUUCCAAAUACUGAAUUACAACAGAAUCAGAAAAGCGAGAGGAGCCGUUAAAAAAUUAAUGGUGGAGACUCGAUCGUAUUGAGUGGAGCUUCUAGUGGGUACAAGAGUAGGUUAAGAAUUGGUUUCUCUUUCGUUGGCUGUCUGAAGAAGAUCUUUAUAUGCAGGUUGACGUUAAAGGCUACAAUACAAACUUUAAUCAAAGUAGUUUCGAAUAUACUCGUGAGUUGUACAUUUAUAAUGUUUCUUGAAGAUCUUU